RNAcentral lists this ribosomal RNA (484 nucleotides) under uncultured bacterium. Its description in RNAcentral is "partial 16S ribosomal RNA". It matches the Rfam family "Bacterial small subunit ribosomal RNA", at positions 30 to 507 of the family's 1533-position model. The record is from RNAcentral.
AUUGAACGCUGGCGGCAGGCCUAACACAUGCAAGUCGAGCGGAUGAAGGGAGCUUGCUCCUGGAUUCAGCGGCGGACGGGUGAGUAAUGCCUAGGAAUCUGCCUGGUCGUGGGGGAUAACGUCCGGAAACGGGCGCUAAUCCCGCAUACGUCCUUAGGGAGAAAGUGGGGGAUCUUCGGACCUCACGCUAUCAGAUGAGCCUAGGUCGGAUUAGCUAGUUGGUUGGGUAAAGGCCUACCAAGGCGACGAUCCGUAACUGGUCUGAGAGGAUGACCAGUCACACUGGAACUGAGACACGGUCCAGACUCCUACGGGAGGCAGCAGUGGGGAAUAUUGGGCAAUGGGCGAAAGCCUGAUCCAGCAAUGCCGCGUGAGUGAAGAAGGUCUUCGGAUUGUAAAGCACUGUAAGUUGGGAGGAAGGAAAGUAAGUUAAUAUCUGGAUGUUUUGACGGUACCAACAGAAUAAGCACCGGCUAACUUCGUG